Salvia hispanica is the source of this 1941-nucleotide RNA transcript. It is a transcript of the gene named dihydrolipoyllysine-residue acetyltransferase component 2 of pyruvate dehydrogenase complex, mitochondrial-like, with no coding region annotated. Lineage: Eukaryota; Viridiplantae; Streptophyta; Magnoliopsida; Lamiales; Lamiaceae. The record is from RefSeq and is a predicted model, not a curated record.
UUUCGAUCCUUCAAUUUCUUCGCAAACCAAAUCGAGCGUUAGUCGUCUCUAGAUUAGGCAUUUUCAACUUACCGCCAUGAUCUGUGCAUCGAGAAUUCUUCGUCACUCUACAAAGCUCAGACAUACACAUCAUGCUACACAAAAAGACCGUGCUUUUCUUGUAUGUUGGUUUACCCAUCAUGCCAGGAUGGAUGCCAAUCAUAUAGAUGAUGUUCCGAGGUCCAGCCAACUUGAUCUUGGACCUGGAGACAAGUAUGGCACUUCAAUGUUUUCCACCAGAGGCUCUUCUUGUCAAAGUUUCCAGUCAAUCAAUCAGACACCGAUUUCAACUGUUAGAAUGGAGAAAGGAAAUAUUUUAAGGACAGCAAUAAAGGGUCAUUCCCCUGCAACGACCUCAGUAUAUAAAAAGAGCCAACAGCGGAACUUCAUCCGAUAUUAUUCUACAGAUUCAGGUCUUCCACCACACCAAGAGAUUGGGAUGCCUUCAUUAUCACCCACAAUGACCGAGGGAAAUAUUGCAAAGUGGAUGAAAAAAGAAGGAGAAAAACUUGCACCCGGAGAUGUACUGUGCGAAGUGGAAACUGAUAAAGCAUCGGUUGAAAUGGAAUGCAUGGAGGAAGGAUAUCUAGCAAAAAUAGUGCUCGGGGAUGGAUCAACUGGAAUUAAAGUUGGCGAGAUAAUUGCUGUAACAGUGGAGGAAGAGGAGGAUCUUGCCAAAUUUAAAGACUACUCUCCAUCAAUAUCAGAUGCUGCAGCUUCGUCCAAAGAACCCUCACCACCAACUCCAACCAAAGAAGAAAGUCCCGAAGAGGCAGCAACCAAUCCCACAGAGCGAUCAUCACCAGGGAACCGUAUUUUCACUGGCCCUCUCACCAGUAUGCUCGCAAAAGAUGAUAAGGUACACAUUUCAAAUACAAAAGGAACAAGUCAUGAUGGACGUGUUGCGAAGAUCGAUAUAAAAGAUAGUCCUGCUUCAGGUGGCAAAGAAGUUUCCCCUGCCCUAGACUACACAGACAUUCCACAGACUCAAAUUGGAAAGGUGACAGCAUCACGUCUGUUGCAAUCGAAACAAACCAUUCCACACUACUACUUAACUGUAGAUACAUGUGUCGACAAGCUAAUGGAACUGCGUAUCCAUCUGAAUUCGUUGCAAGAAGCUUCAGGUGGGAGAAGGAUAUCUAUCAAUGAUCUUGUCAUUAAGGCUGCUGCUAUGGCUCUUAGAGAGGUUCCUCAGUGCAAUAGUUCGUGGACCGAUGAUUAUAUUCGCCAGUACCGUAAUGUGAAUAUUAAUAUUGCUGUGCAAACAGACAACGGAUUGUGUGUGCCUGUAAUCAAGGAUGCUGACAAGAAAGGUCUAUCAAGAAUCGGUAAGGAAGUUAAGCAUUUAGCUGAGAAAGCAAGAGAGAACAGCUUGAAACCUGAAGAUUAUGAGGGAGGUACAUUCACCGUAUCAAACUUGGGAGGGUCUUUUGGCGUCGAGCAAUUCCGUGCAAUCGUCAACCCACCCCAAGCAGGCAUUCUAGCCGUUGGAUCUGCUGAAAGGAGGGUGAUACCUGGCUCAGGCCCCAAGCAAUACGAGUUUGCUUCGUUCAUGACUGCCACAUUAAGCUGUGACCAUCGUGUAGUUGAUGGUGCCAUUGGAGCAGAGUGGCUCAAGGCUUACAAAGGCUACAUCGAGAAUCCACAGUCUAUGUUGGUCUGAGUUGAACCACACUUGUUCGUUUCUUCGAAGCAUGAGGAUGUUAGUAAUAAAGCCAUAUGCUAUGUUUGUAGUUGUAGGCGUGGAUACAAGCAUGCGAGAGCUCCAUAUUUUCCCUAUCGAAUUAUGAUUCAUUUAGAGAGUUUGAGCUUUGAUGUCACAUUCAUCAGACGCACAAGCUCUGGCAAGACGACGGUUGCAAGGUCCGGUCGGUCCCGCCUCCUGAGCUCACUGCAUUGCAA